RNAcentral lists this transfer RNA (73 nucleotides) under Actinomycetes bacterium. Its description in RNAcentral is "tRNA-Lys". It matches the Rfam family "tRNA". From Rfam's summary of the family: Transfer RNA (tRNA) molecules are approximately 80 nucleotides in length. Their secondary structure includes four short double-helical elements and three loops (D, anti-codon, and T loops). Lineage: Bacteria; Bacillati; Actinomycetota; Actinomycetes. The record is from RNAcentral.
GCGCCGCUAGCUCAAUUGGCAGAGCAGCGGACUCUUAAUCCGCGGGUUGGGGGUUCAAGUCCCUCGCGGCGCA